Molecule: non-coding RNA, 31 nt
Filed under: Rattus norvegicus (Norway rat)
Lineage: Eukaryota; Metazoa; Chordata; Mammalia; Rodentia; Muridae
Source: RNAcentral
UACAAUUUCAAGUAGAACAAUUAUGAGCCUU